AACGAACGCUGGCGGCAUGCCUAACACAUGCAAGUCGAACGAGACCUUCGGGUCUAGUGUCGCACGGGUGCGUAACGCGUGGGAACCUGCCCUUAGGUUCGGAAUGACUCCCCGACAGGGGUGCUAAUACCGGAUAAUGUCUUCGGACCAAAGAUUUAUCGCCUUUGGUUGGGCCCGCGUUGGAUUAGCUAGUUGGUAGGGUAAAAGCCUACCAAGGCGACGAUCCAUAGCUGGUCUGAGAGGAUGAUCAGCCACACUGGGACUGAGACACGGCCCAGACUCCUACGGGAGGCAGCAGUGGGGAAUAUUGGACGAUGGGCGAAAGCCUGAUGCAGCAAGGCCGCGUGAGUGAUGAAGGCCUUAGGGUUGUAAAGCUCUUUUACCCGGGAUGAUAAUGACAGUACCGGGAGAAUAAGCUCCGGCUAACUCCGUG
This 433-nucleotide ribosomal RNA is filed under the name uncultured bacterium. RNAcentral describes it as "partial 16S ribosomal RNA". It matches the Rfam family "Bacterial small subunit ribosomal RNA", at positions 29 to 507 of the family's 1533-position model. The record is from RNAcentral.